This 429-nucleotide ribosomal RNA is filed under the name Verrucomicrobiota bacterium. RNAcentral's name for it is "Verrucomicrobia bacterium partial 16S ribosomal RNA". It matches the Rfam family "Bacterial small subunit ribosomal RNA", at positions 355 to 776 of the family's 1533-position model. The record is from RNAcentral. Lineage: Bacteria; Pseudomonadati; Verrucomicrobiota.
UAGGGAAUCUUCCGCAAUGGACGCAAGUCUGACGGAGCAACGCCGCGUGAGUGAAGAAGGUUUUCGGAUCGUAAAACUCUGUUGUAAGAGAAGAACAAAUUGUAGAGUAACUGCUACAGUCUUGACGGUAUCUUACCAGAAAGCCACGGCUAACUACGUGCCAGCAGCCGCGGUAAUACGUAGGUGGCAAGCGUUGUCCGGAUUUAUUGGGCGUAAAGGGGGCGCAGGCUGCUUCUUAAGUCUGAUGUGAAAGCCCACGGCUUAACCGUGGAAGUGCAUUUGGAACUGGGAAGCUUGAGUACAGAAGAGGAAAGGGGAACUCCAUGUGUAGCGGUGGAAUGCGUAGAUAUAUGGAAGAACACCAGUGGCGAAAGCGACUUUCUGGUCUGUCACUGACGCUGAGGCCCGAAAGCGUGGGUAGCAAACAGG